This 1420-nucleotide long non-coding RNA is filed under the name Phascolarctos cinereus (koala). RNAcentral describes it as "lncRNA (ENSPCIG00000035943.1)". The record is from RNAcentral. Lineage: Eukaryota; Metazoa; Chordata; Mammalia; Diprotodontia; Phascolarctidae.
CUUUAAUCGCCCAGAGGCAAAGGCGCACAGUGCUUCCAAACCGGCUGCUAACUGGGUGGGAAUUUGCAAUCUUUGUUUCCCCCUCCUCCAACCUCCCCAGCUGCAGGCAGAUGUGAUUUUGAACUCUCUCUCCCCCUCUUUCUUUACUUUCCCCUCCUCCCUCCUCUACAGAGAGAGAUUUCUUUUUUAUGCUUCUCUCCCUCGAUUGCAAGACUCAAGAAGUCUUUUCUACCUUGGGAGAAGAGUAAGCUGGGCCUGAAGAGGUGAAGUAAUUCAGGGAGUGCCCAGGCCAUCCCAGUUGAGUUUCCGUGAUAACCAUGAAAGCUAAAGAGCUUUGCCACUCUGCAUCUAAGGAGCCAAGCCAAGAUGUUCAAGUUUGAUUCCUGUUCAGUAGAAGCCUUGGAAAUACAGGGAAGCACCUUCAAGCAGAACAGACUGAUGUAUGAAGGAAUCAACAGGAUGGCUUCACCAGCUUGGGAAGCAAUAAACACUGAGGGAGAAUUAAGGUGCCAGGAAUCCAGGUAACAGAAUUUUUAGUUACCAGAAAUACAUCCUCAAAUGAGGAAGGCAUGAGCCCUGCUGAGAACACUGUAAAACUUGAAGCAUUACAUAAAUGACCAGUUGUUAUUAUAUAUCUGCAAAGAUCCCAAAUGAUGCGCAGGUAAUCUCAGGUUUUCCCAUCAUUGUUUCCUCUCCUGAAGGAUAUCAUCGUGCCAUCUGCCCUAAAAGACAGAAUUUGGGCUUUUCUCAGAAUCACUAGAGGCAGCCUACUGAGUGAAAUAGAAGGUGUCCUCAAUUUGAACUCAGAGGACCAGGGUUCACAUCCUAGCUUUGCAACCUCGAGGCAAAUUACUUAACCUCUCUGGACCUCAUCUAUAAAAUGAGGGGGUCAAAUGAGAUGAUGAUUUCAAAGGUCCUUCCAAGCUCUUGAUCCUGUGAUUCUUGCACUCCUCCCCAGCAUCCACACACACACCAGCUUGGAACAGAGAAAAAGUGUAAGAAGCCCUCUUUCCUUCACAGACCUGCGAUGGGUUCGUUUUGGACCUGACUGAGCUAGCAGUAAAGGAGGCAGAUAGGAGAUUCAGUGUCCCCUAGAGAACCCAGUGAAGAGACAGAUUCACUGGUGGUGGGCUUAGGCACAAGCUGCUCUGGAGGCCAAUGUGAGAGAGCUGCCUGGGAGGACUUUUUGGAAUAAUGGAUCCUCUGUCUUUGGGAAUGGGACACUGAUUCAAAGCCAGGGAUGUUGCUUUUCAGAUUCCGCCAUCAGAAUUCCUAGGAAGUAAGUCAGUAGAAACAGAAUAGUUCAUACUGGCUCAUGUUUUCCCAGCUGGAGGGUGACUUCUCCAUCGGAUUUCAUAGCACUUUUUGCUUCUUUUGGGCAUUUCUCAUAUGAAUGAAUAAAGACUAUUAAGUUUCUCCA